This 1367-nucleotide ribosomal RNA is filed under the name Salmonella enterica subsp. enterica serovar Gaminara. Its description in RNAcentral is "partial 23S ribosomal RNA". It matches the Rfam family "Bacterial large subunit ribosomal RNA", at positions 137 to 1547 of the family's 2925-position model. The record is from RNAcentral. Lineage: Bacteria; Pseudomonadati; Pseudomonadota; Gammaproteobacteria; Enterobacterales; Enterobacteriaceae.
GACUCGUCACACUAUCAUUAACUGAAUCCAUAGGUUAAUGAGGCGAACCGGGGGAACUGAAACAUCUAAGUACCCCGAGGAAAAGAAAUCAACCGAGAUUCCCCCAGUAGCGGCGAGCGAACGGGGAGGAGCCCAGAGCCUGAAUCAGCAUGUGUGUUAGUGGAAGCGUCUGGAAAGGCGCGCGAUACAGGGUGACAGCCCCGUACACAAAAGCGCAUGUGCUGUGAGCUCGAUGAGUAGGGCGGGACACGUGGUAUCCUGUCUGAAUAUGGGGGGACCAUCCUCCAAGGCUAAAUACUCCUGACUGACCGAUAGUGAACCAGUACCGUGAGGGAAAGGCGAAAAGAACCCCGGCGAGGGGAGUGAAAAAGAACCUGAAACCGUGUACGUACAAGCAGUGGGAGCACCCUUUGGGGUGUGACUGCGUACCUUUUGUAUAAUGGGUCAGCGACUUAUAUUCUGUAGCAAGGUUAACCGAAUAGGGGAGCCGGAGGGAAACCGAGUCUUAAUUGGGCGUUAAGUUGCAGGGUAUAGACCCGAAACCCGGUGAUCUAGCCAUGGGCAGGUUGAAGGUUGGGUAACACUAACUGGAGGACCGAACCGACUAAUGUUGAAAAAUUAGCGGAUGACCUGUGGCUGGGGGUGAAAGGCCAAUCAAACCGGGAGAUAGCUGGUUCUCCCCGAAAGCUAUUUAGGUAGCGCCUCGUGAAUUCAUCUCCGGGGGUAGAGCACUGUUUCGGCUAGGGGGCCAUCCCGGCUUACCAACCCGAUGCAAACUGCGAAUACCGGAGAAUGUUAUCACGGGAGACACACGGCGGGUGCUAACGUCCGUCGUGAAGAGGGAAACAACCCAGACCGCCAGCUAAGGUCCCAAAGUCAUGGUUAAGUGGGAAACGAUGUGGGAAGGCCCAGACAGCCAGGAUGUUGGCUUAGAAGCAGCCAUCAUUUAAAGAAAGCGUAAUAGCUCACUGGUCGAGUCGGCCUGCGCGGAAGAUGUAACGGGGCUAAACCAUGCACCGAAGCUGCGGCAGCGACACUAUGUGUUGUUGGGUAGGGGAGCGUUCUGUAAGCCUGUGAAGGUGGCCUGUGAGGGUUGCUGGAGGUAUCAGAAGUGCGAAUGCUGACAUAAGUAACGAUAAAGCGGGUGAAAAGCCCGCUCGCCGGAAGACCAAGGGUUCCUGUCCAACGUUAAUCGGGGCAGGGUGAGUCGACCCCUAAGGCGAGGCCGAAAGGCGUAGUCGAUGGGAAACGGGUUAAUAUUCCCGUACUUGGUGUUACUGCGAAGGGGGGACGGAGAAGGCUAUGUUGGCCGGGCGACGGUUGUCCCGGUUUAAGCGUGUAGGUGUGUGUUCCAGGUAAAUCCGGUU